This 301-nucleotide ribosomal RNA is filed under the name uncultured bacterium. RNAcentral describes it as "partial 16S ribosomal RNA". It matches the Rfam family "Bacterial small subunit ribosomal RNA", at positions 509 to 808 of the family's 1533-position model. The record is from RNAcentral.
CAGUAGCCGCGGUAAUACCGAGGGUGCGAGCGUUAAUCGGAUUUACUGGGCGUAAAGCGUGCGUAGGCGGCUUCUUAAGUCGGAUGUGAAAUCCCUGAGCUUAACUUAGGAAUUGCAUUCGAUACUGGGAAGCUAGAGUAUGGGAGAGGAUGGUAGAAUUCCAGGUGUAGCGGUGAAAUGCGUAGAGAUCUGGAGGAAUACCGAUGGCGAAGGCAGCCAUCUGGCCUAAUACUGACGCUGAGGUACGAAAGCAUGGGGAGCAAACAGGAUUAGAUACCCGCGUAGUCCCUGUCUCUUUACA